Acanthoscelides obtectus is the source of this 73-nucleotide non-coding RNA. NCBI's taxonomy places the organism in Eukaryota, Metazoa, Arthropoda, Insecta, Coleoptera, Chrysomelidae. The record is from the annotation of a GenBank genome assembly.
GGGCUGUAGACUAAUUGGUUAGGUCGGUUCCCCGGAAAGGAGGAGAUGCGGGUUCGAAUCCGACCGAUGCCCA